RNAcentral lists this long non-coding RNA (1536 nucleotides) under Cairina moschata (Muscovy duck). Its description in RNAcentral is "domestica (muscovy Duck (domestic type)) lncRNA (ENSCMMG00000010764.1)". The record is from RNAcentral. Lineage: Eukaryota; Metazoa; Chordata; Aves; Anseriformes; Anatidae.
UGCCAGCUGUGUCCUCCUGGAAGGGUCUGUUCCAAGCCAGGCCUACAGAGACCAGAUGGACUGUGCACACCUGGAUGGUUUUGUCCACCUGGAUCCAUGUCAAGCAAACCCGUGUUUCCUGGAAAUCACUCUGCAGGCAUGGCAGCUCCAGCUUCUAGAUCUUUUGGGCAGUGCCAAGCAGGAACCUUUUGUCCUACUGGUUCAUACCUUCCUAUUCCCUGCCCACCAGGUUUUUACUGUGCAACAGCAGAGCUUGCAGCUCCAUCAGGUCCCUGUGAGGCUGGCUUCUACUGCACAGGGGGCUCCGUGCUCCCAAAUCCUAUGGGUGGUGCAGUGGGGAACAUCUGUCCUCGAGGUCACUUCUGUCCUGCAGGAAGCUCCUCUCCAUCUCCGUGUCCCCCAGGCUCCUUCCUGGCUUAUCGCGGUGGUCAGGCAGCACAGGAUUGCCAGGCCUGUUUCCCAGGGUGGUUCUGUUCUCAGCGUGGCCAGAGCUCCCCAGAGGGCUUGUGUAAAGAGGGAUGGUUUUGCCCAGAGGGCUCUGUAUCUGGUCAGCACUCAGACUAUCUCUGUCCAGUGGGUCACUAUUGCCCCUCUGGCAGCCCUGAGCCCAUACCGUGUCCCUCUGGGAAAUAUCAGGACCAGACUGGUAAAAGCCAGUGUGAAACAUGCCCGGCAGGAAUGUUCUGUGCCCUAAAGGACCACCCAGACAAUCUCCAAGAGAACUUCCAUGGGAUAAUCAAACCAACAGACUGUCCAGCUGCGUAUUACUGCCUCUCAGGCACAAAAGCUGGCAAUCAAUACCCGUGCCCAGUGGGGACCUACAGUAACGAAACUGGACUAAGAAAUCAGAGAGAAUGCAAACCUUGUCCCGGAGGCAACUUUUGUUCCAGUGCAGGACUCACAUCCCCAAGCGGUACUUGUUUGCCUGGGUAUUACUGCACCUCAGAGGCACGUGUACCAAACCCAGUCAGUGAUGAGACUGGGGGCCUCUGUCCAGCAGGCCAUUACUGCCCACCGGGCAGCAGCAAGCCAGAGCCGUGUCCCACUGGCACGUUUCUGCCUCUGUCUGGAAUGGUUUACCCUAACGCCUGCCUGCCCUGCCCUGGGGGGAAGUUCUGCCGAGGAGAGGGCCUGACCAGUGUUUCUGGAUUGUGUUAUGCUGGCUAUUUCUGUGAUGCUGGAUCUACACAGCCGGAUCAGAAGCAGUGCCCCCCUGGCUCCUACUGUCCUGAAGGCUCCGAAUCCCCAGUCCCUUGCAGCCCUGGGCACUUCAACUCUGACAGUGGAAAAUGGCAGUCAAGAGACUGCCAGCUCUGCCCUGCUGGGUAUUUCUGUAGUGGUUCUGGAGCACGUACUCCUGAGCUGUGCCCUGCUGGGUACUUCUGUCUGCCAGGUACCAACUUCAGUGCACAGCAUCCAUGUCCAAAGGGAACUUUUGGCCCCAGGGCUGGUGCCACUAGCAGCUCUGACUGCGAGCCCUGCCCAGCAGGUAAGCAGGGACAUGGCAAGAGAAACUCAGGGGAAUACAUGGAAUAG